RNAcentral lists this ribosomal RNA (936 nucleotides) under Bacillus aerius. RNAcentral describes it as "bacterial SSU rRNA". It matches the Rfam family "Bacterial small subunit ribosomal RNA", at positions 106 to 1030 of the family's 1533-position model. The record is from RNAcentral. Lineage: Bacteria; Bacillati; Bacillota; Bacilli; Caryophanales; Bacillaceae.
GUGAGUAACACGUGGGUAACCUGCCUGUAAGACUGGGAUAACUCCGGGAAACCGGAGCUAAUUACCGGAUAGUUCCUUGAACCGCAUGGUUCAAGGAUGAAAGACGGUUUCGGCUGUCACUUACAGAUGGACCGCGGCGCAUAGCUAGUUGGUGAGGUAACGGCUCACCAAGGCGACGAUGCGUAGCCGACUGAGAGGGUGAUCGGCCACACUGGGGCUGAGACACGGCCCAGACUCCUACGGGAGGCAGCAGUAGGGAAUCUUCCGCAAUGGACGAAAGUCUGACGGAGCAACGCCGCGUGAGUGAUGAAGGUUUCGGAUCGUAAAGCUCUGUUGUUAGGGAAGAACAAGUGCAAGAGUAACUGCUUGCACCUUGACGGUACCUAACCAGAAAGCCACGGCUAACUACGUGCCAGCAGCCGCGGUAAUACGUAGGUGGCCAGCGUUGUCCGGAAUUAUUGGGCGUAAAGGGCUCGCAGGCGGUUUCUUAAGUCUGAUGUGAAAGCCCCCGGCUCAACCGGGGAGGGUCAUUGGAAACUGGGAAACUUGAGUGCAGAAGAGGAGAGUGGAAUUCCACGUGUAGCGGUGAAAUGCGUAGAGAUGUGGAGGAACACCAGUGGCGAAGGCGACUCUCUGGUCUGUAACUGACGCUGAGGAGCGAAAGCGUGGGGAGCGAACAGGAUUAGAUACCCUGGUAGUCCACGCCGUAAACGAUGAGUGCUAAGUGUUAGGGGGUUUCCGCCCCUUAGUGCUGCAGCUAACGCAUUAAGCACUCCGCCUGGGGAGUACGGUCGCAAGACUGAAACUCAAAGGAAUUGACGGGGGCCCGCACAAGCGGUGGAGCAUGUGGUUUAAUUCGAAGCAACGCGAAGAACCUUACCAGGUCUUGACAUCCUCUGACAACCCUAGAGAUAGGGCUUUCCCUUCGGGGACAGA